This 454-nucleotide ribosomal RNA is filed under the name uncultured Actinomycetes bacterium. RNAcentral describes it as "SSU rRNA". It matches the Rfam family "Bacterial small subunit ribosomal RNA", at positions 464 to 915 of the family's 1533-position model. Lineage: Bacteria; Bacillati; Actinomycetota; Actinomycetes. The record is from RNAcentral.
CGAGAGUGACGGUACCUGCAGAAGAAGCACCGGCUAACUACGUGCCAGCAGCCGCGGUAAUACGUAGGGUGCAAGCGUUGUCCGGAAUUAUUGGGCGUAAAGAGCUCGUAGGCGGUCUGUCGCGUCUGCUGUGAAAACUCAGGGCUUAACCCUGAGCUUGCAGUGGGUACGGGCAGACUAGAGUGCGGUAGGGGAGACUGGAAUUCCUGGUGUAGCGGUGAAAUGCGCAGAUAUCAGGAGGAACACCGGUGGCGAAGGCGGGUCUCUGGGCCGUAACUGACGCUGAGGAGCGAAAGCAUGGGGAGCGAACAGGAUUAGAUACCCUGGUAGUCCAUGCCGUAAACGUUGGGCGCUAGGUGUGGGGCUCAUUCCACGAGCUCCGUGCCGCAGCUAACGCAUUAAGCGCCCCGCCUGGGGAGUACGGCCGCAAGGCUAAAACUCAAAGGAAUUGACG